This 3880-nucleotide long non-coding RNA is filed under the name Homo sapiens (human). Its description in RNAcentral is "non-protein coding lnc-RGL4-4:4". The record is from RNAcentral. Lineage: Eukaryota; Metazoa; Chordata; Mammalia; Primates; Hominidae.
GCUGGCCAACCCACGUGAUGGCUCUUGAAGCUUCUCUUUUGAAUGGCCUGCUAGGACUUGGGCUCCGGAUUCACUGGCUAAAGCAAGUCACAUGGCCAAACCUGAUUUGGUGGGGAGGGGAGGUGUACCCAGCACUGGAGGCCCUGCACGUCGUGUAGCAAUGGGGCAGGAUGAAUAGUCCUCUCACUGGGAGGACAGUGAAUAACUGGAAACAGUGACCAAUCUGCUACCAUGCACCAUCUUGGUUGCAAUUAUCACUCCUGUCUCUUGCGUGGGCAUGGUGGAUUGGAGGCGGCUGCGGAUUCUUAGUCAUUCCUCCCAGAAAGACAUGGAGUAUUUUUCUCCUCCCCUUGGAUCUGGGCUGAUUCCAGGACUGGCUUUCAUCAACAGGAUGUAGCAGAAGCGACGCUGUGUGAGUUCCCAGGCUGAGGCUGCAGAGAUUUGAGGCAUCUUCUCUCACCCAGCUUGAAGUCCUUCCCCUUGGAAGCCAGUCACCGUGAAAAAACUCACCAUGCUGUGAGGAAGCCCAAGAGAGCUGCAUGGAGAGAAGGGCCUGUGGAAGAGCUCUGAGGUGCCACUCACAUGAAGUGAGCCUUUGUGGACCUUCCAGCCCAGCCACCAGCAAACACAACCCAGAAACCCAGGCCCUGAGGCCAGGUCUACCUGGCUUACCUUGCAACCAAAGGCGAGAUCUUUCUCCGGAACCGGGUCAUUUGUUGGUGAGGAAGAUGGACUUCUGGGAGGCCUGCGCUCACAAGGCUCUACAUCCCGAAGUGAUCUCACCAAGGGGCACAACAGCCUGGAGAGGGAAGUGCCAUUGCUCCCAUUUUGCAGAUGGGCAAGAUGAGGCCCAGAGCCACCAAGCCCCUCUCGAGUUGCAGCUUCUGGGGGCAGAGCAGGAUGUACAUCUGGUCCCGCCUAACUAUACCCAGAGAAACCUGCCGUGGGCCCUUCUCCAUCACACAUGGUCAUCCCACACUAUCACAAAGGUCAGGGGAACCGCUAUGUCUGCAUAAAAACAAGUGUCAUCAGUUGGAUUUGUUCAAGGUGAGGCUUACCUGCUCCCUAAUAUAUCGAAAGCUCCUGUUGAAGGAGAGUCAGGGACAUGCCAGGAGGCCUGCCAUGCUGUGACCAGUUGUCAUCUCACCGAAUCCUCACCAGUACCACGUGGCUCAGCAAGGUUAGGUAACAUACUCAAAGUCACACCGCCUGCCCCCAAAUUAGUCAUGGCAAUCUCCUGUCUUCAAGGUCCAAGUUUUGCUGUUUCCUCAGGGUCAAAACCAAGGUCUUCUCCUGUCCUGGAAGAACAUCAAGCCAUAGAUGGAACUCUGCGUUCCUGGUGUGACCUCAGACAAGGCUCUUUGCCUCCCUGGGCCUCAGUUUUCUCAUCUGCCAAAUGGGAAGGCUGGACUCACUACUCCCUCAGACUCUGUUUAACUCGAGCAUUCUGCAGGGACUCAUCCUGGGGCAGGUGGGGUCAGAGGGCAGAUGGCCAGGAGCAGAGCCAGAUGGGAGCAACAGCCUUCCCUCUGCCAGGACAGGGAGAGACCUGGCUGCCUCACAGUGAGAGGUCUGGCAGCCAGGGAGGGCACUGGGGACAAGGGCCCAGCCGGGCACCCUAUGGAGCACAUGACCCCCACCUGUCCAUGGAGCACACGACCUCCACCUCCAGCUGCCCCUGUGCUGCAGACAACUCCCAGGGUGGCGAGGGUGGCAUCCUGAUCCCAGCAGCGCCUGCAGGACUGGGAACCUGCUGCCCACCCACCCCCUGCCACUUGCUCUCCCUUCCUUGCCCAACCCCAGGAGCUCAAUGCCUGCUCAGGGCAGGAAUAAGAGGCAGAGGAGGGGUGAGGAGAGAAAGGAGUCAUUAGGGGCCUUGCUGAUCCUUCGUGGCGCCUCCAUGUCCCUAUCCCUCAUGCAAAGCACUAACCUGGAGGCGGAGCAUUUCAUCGAAGCAAAGCAUCUCCUGCCACCAAGCACGUCCACGGUAUUGGGGAUUGAUUGCUUCUAUCCUCCAGCCCACUCUACGGAGCACCCACCGUGUGACAGGCGCGGCGCUGGGCAACGAGGAUAAGAAAAUGAAUAGGCCACGACAUGUGCGCCUGAGAAGUCACAGACUCAGACAGGAGACAGGCUCGAUACCACACACCAAGGUCUGGAUGCACACAGGACACUGAGUAACUCCUGCAGGGUGAGCGGGUUUCCAGGGCACUCGACAACCGGCAGAGUCUGGAAGCAGCCUGGAGGGGAAAGGGCAUUCCUGACGGGGGCACAGCAGAAGCAAAGGCCCAGUGGCAUGAAAGACCAAGGAGUGUUGAGGGAACAGAGAGCAGCUUGGUGUUGGGGCGGCAUCAGCGGGUGGAGCUGGAGCCGAUGAGAAAGGAUAGGCCAACUAGGGUUCAAGUGGCCAAGACCUUCUAUGCCCUGCUCUGCCAGUUACAGCCAGCAGUGGUGGUAAGCACAGCCACCCGGCACUGAACAAUGGCAGUGUGGCCGGCACUGUGCUAAGCUCAUCUCAGUCACUCGCUCACCACAUCCUCCAACGAGCCCAUGAGGCCCAGAGAGGUUAGGCGAGUUACUGGUGGUCACACAGCCGAUAGUGGCCAGGCUGGAACUUGGACUCAGGCUCCCAAUUCUCACCCACCAGCAUGUGCUGCCUCUGAGGAGUUUGGGGUUCCCCUUCAGGACAACUGGGAGUCACAAGGGAUUUUUAAGGGGGGUGGGUAGCAGAGUCUCAGUGCCCUAAAUCCCCAAGUCAUGCUCAUGGAGAAACUGCUGCAUCCACCUGGGAGACGUGGCCAGUCUGUUUUUAGGGUCUGAGGGUCACCUUGGCCUCUCCGGGAGCUGCCCUGGUUUCCCCAAUGCUCCUGAGUACUGGGGCUUGGCCUGCGUCUUCUGCCCCAGCCUGCUGCUCCUGGGUUCCAGUCUUGGAGCCAGGGGUCAUCACUGCCAGGGCCUCUUCAGAACUCAGGCGCCCACCUAUCAGGGCCUCAGCCCCUCCAACACUCCCUGGGGCCCCCACAUUGCCCACCCUCUCUUCCCUCUGCCCUUCCUUGCUCGAGAUAACACCUGGGAUGGGGGUGCAUGGGGAAGCGCCCCCUGAUGGAGCUAGACAGCCCUCGGGAGGGAGUUAGACAGCCCUCGGGAAGAUCCAGCAGUGGUGGCCUCUCCUUGCCCUUCCCCAUGUCCUCCCUCUCCCCUCUGCCCACCCAGCCUCCCACCACAUGGGGCACUGGAGUGCUCCUUCCCACCAUCUGCCCUCCUGGGCUCCGCUUUCAUUCUGCUCCCCCGACCCCAGGUCUCAGCAUUGCAGGCAUCACAAGACAGCGGAUUCCAGAGGCCCCAAAACACUUCCAUCCUCCAAGCACGCACUGAGCAUAUGGAGAAGCUGAGGCCCAAGCAGGGCCAAUGGCAGAGCAGCUGGAAGCCCAGCUCUCUUGUGCUCUUGCUGCAGCUCCAGCUCCUGGUCGGCCGUCCACCAGGCAUCUGCUGAGCGCGAUGUGUUUCCAUUUAGGGGCAUCUCACACUUGAUCCUCACUCCAGCCCAGAGGAGGCUGGGUUAAAACAGGAAGGCUGGGCUGUCCAGCUCUAGCUCCUUCUAAAAAUGCAGUGAGUCCCAUGUUGGCAUCUCUGCUUCGCAAACAGGUAAAACGAGGCAAGCAGUAGGUCAAUGACUUGCUGUCUCUGGUCGUGUGUCAGGCAACCACAGUCACACAGUCACGAGGGUCUCCUGUCUGAGAUCCUGCCUAUUCUUUUUUUUUUGAGACGGAGUCUUGCUCUGUCUCCCAGGCUGGAGUGCAGUGGUGCGAUCUUGGCUCACUGCAAGCUCCGCCUCCCGGGUUCACACCAUUCUCCUGCCUCAGCCUCCCCAGCAGCUGGG